RNAcentral lists this ribosomal RNA (808 nucleotides) under Candidatus Allofontibacter lacus. Its description in RNAcentral is "partial 23S ribosomal RNA". It matches the Rfam family "Bacterial large subunit ribosomal RNA", at positions 1 to 841 of the family's 2925-position model. The record is from RNAcentral. Lineage: Bacteria; Pseudomonadati; Pseudomonadota; Alphaproteobacteria; Candidatus Pelagibacterales; Candidatus Pelagibacteraceae.
UAUAUGGUCAAGAAGAGAAGCGCAAACGGUGGAUGCCUAGGCAGUAAGAGGCGAUGAAGGACGUGGAAUCCUGCGAAAAGCUUUGGUGAGUUGGAAAUAAGCGUUGAACCAAAGAUGUCCGAAUGGGGGAACCCGGCUAUAUGAGAAUAUAGUCAUCUGUAUCUGAAUACAUAGGAUAGAGAAGCGAACUCGGGGAACUGAAACAUCUAAGUACCCGAAGGAAAAGAAAUCAAAUGAGAUUCUCUUAGUAGCGGCGAGCGAACGGGGAAGAGCCUGGUGUGAUUUAUAGUAGACUGAAGUAGAACGACCUGGGAAGGUUGACGAUAGAGGGUGAUAGUCCCGUAUACGAAAGGUUUAUUAAGAACUAAGCACACGAGCAAGUAGGUCGGAACACGAGAAAUUCUGAUUGAAUAUGGGUGGCCCAUCAUCCAAGGCUAAAUACUCCUUACUGACCGAUAGUGAACUAGUACCGUGAGGGAAAGGCGAAAAGAACCCCGGAGAGGGGAGUGAAAUAGAACCUGAAACCGUUUGCGUACAAGCAGUGGGAGCAUGACUGCGGUUAUGUGACUGCGUACCUUUUGUAUAAUGGGUCAGCGAGUUACUUUCAGUGGCGAGGUUAACCGAUUAGGGAAGCCGUAGAGAAAUCGAGUCUGAAUAGGGCGCGAGUCGCUGGGAGUAGACCCGAAACCGGGCGAUCUAGCCAUGCCCAGGAUGAAGGUUGGGUAACACCAAGUGGAGGUCCGAACCGGGUAAUGUUGAAAAAUUAUCGGAUGAGGUGUGGCUAGGAGUGAAAGGCUAAUCAAGCCCG